RNAcentral lists this ribosomal RNA (406 nucleotides) under uncultured bacterium. Its description in RNAcentral is "partial 16S ribosomal RNA". It matches the Rfam family "Bacterial small subunit ribosomal RNA", at positions 30 to 526 of the family's 1533-position model. The record is from RNAcentral.
AUUGAACGCUGGCGGCCGGCCUAACACAUGCAAGUCGAACGAGUGGCGGACGGGUGAGUAAUGUCUGGGAAACUGCCCACUGGAGGGGGGUAACUACUGGAAACGGUAGCUAAUACCGCCUCCAAUCGGAUGUGCCCAGAUGGGAUUAGCUAGUAGGUGGGGUAACGGCUCACCUAGGCGACGAACCCUAGCUGGUCUGAGAGGAUGACCAGCCACACUGGAAUUGAGACACGGUCCAGACUCCUACGGGAGGCAGCAGUGGGGAAUAUUGCACAAUGGGCGAAAGCCUGAUGCAGCCAGGCCGCGUGUAUGAAGAAGGCCUUCGGGUUUUAAAGUACUUUCAGCGAGGAGGCGUUACUCGCAGAAGAAGCACCGGCUAACUCCGUGCCAGCAGCCGCGGUAAUAC